This 235-nucleotide ribosomal RNA is filed under the name uncultured bacterium. RNAcentral's name for it is "partial 16S ribosomal RNA". It matches the Rfam family "Bacterial small subunit ribosomal RNA", at positions 15 to 252 of the family's 1533-position model. The record is from RNAcentral.
GAUCAUGGCUCAGAUUGAACGCUGGCGGCAGGCUUAACACAUGCAAGUCGAGCGGAGAUGAGGUGUUUGCACCUUAUCUUAGCGGCGGACGGGUGAGUAAUGCUUAGGAAUCUGCCUAUUAGUGGGGGACAACAUUCCGAAAGGAAUGCUAAUACCGCAUACGUCCCACGGGAGAAAGCAGGGGAUCUUCGGACCUUGCGCUAAUAGAUGAGCCUAAGUCGGAUUAGCUAGUUGG